Molecule: non-coding RNA, 103 nt
Filed under: Capsicum annuum
Lineage: Eukaryota; Viridiplantae; Streptophyta; Magnoliopsida; Solanales; Solanaceae
Source: Rfam by way of RNAcentral
CCAAAUUUGACUCAACACGGAGAAACUUACCAGAUGCAAAUAUAAUAAGGAUUGACAUACUGCGAGUUCUUUCUUGCUUUUAUGUGUUAGGAUUGUUGGGUGG